UACGUAGGGGGCAAGCGUUGUCCGGAAUCAUUGGGCGUAAAGAGCGUGUAGGCGGCUCGGUAAGUCCGCUGUGAAAGUCCAGGGCUCAACCCUGGGAUGCCGGUGGAUACUGUCGGGCUCGAGUCCGGAAGAGGAGUGUGGAAUUCCUGGUGUAGCGGUGAAAUGCGCAGAUAUCAGGAGGAACACCAAUGGCGAAGGCAGCACUCUGGGACGUGACUGACGCUGAGACGCGAAAGCGUGGGGAGCAAACAGG
RNAcentral lists this ribosomal RNA (253 nucleotides) under uncultured bacterium. RNAcentral describes it as "partial 16S ribosomal RNA". It matches the Rfam family "Bacterial small subunit ribosomal RNA", at positions 524 to 776 of the family's 1533-position model. The record is from RNAcentral.